This 546-nucleotide ribosomal RNA is filed under the name uncultured fungus. Its description in RNAcentral is "eukaryotic LSU rRNA". The stretch from base 193 to 346 matches the Rfam family "5.8S ribosomal RNA". Lineage: Eukaryota; Fungi. The record is from RNAcentral.
GUAGGUGAACCUGCGGAGGGAUCAUUACACAAAUAUGAAGGCGGGCUGGAACCUCUCGGGGUUACAGCCUUGCUGAAUUAUUCACCCUUGUCUUUUGCGUACUUCUUGUUUCCUUGGUGGGUUCGCCCACCACUAGGACAAACAUAAACCUUUUGUAAUUGCAAUCAGCGUCAGUAACAAAUUAAUAAUUACAACUUUCAACAACGGAUCUCUUGGUUCUGGCAUCGAUGAAGAACGCAGCGAAAUGCGAUAAGUAGUGUGAAUUGCAGAAUUCAGUGAAUCAUCGAAUCUUUGAACGCACAUUGCGCCCUUUGGUAUUCCAAAGGGCAUGCCUGUUCGAGCGUCAUUUGUACCCUCAAGCUUUGCUUGGUGUUGGGCGUCUUGUCUCUAGCUUUGCUGGAGACUCGCCUUAAAGUAAUUGGCAGCCGGCCUACUGGUUUCGAAGCGCAGCACAAGUCGCACUCUCUAUCAGCAAAGGUCUAGCAUCCAUUAAGCCUUUUUUUCAACUUUUGACCUCGGAUCAGGUAGGGAUACCCGCUGAACUUA